ACGGCCUACGGGGCGCAGCAGUGGGGAAUAUUGGGCAAUGGACGCAAGUCUGACCCAGCAACGCCGCGUGAAGGAAGAAGGCUUUCGGGUUGUAAACUUCUUUUAAGGGGGAAGAGCAGAAGACGGUACCCCUUGAAUAAGCCACGGCUAACUCCGUGCCAGCAGCCGCGGUAAUACGGAGGAUGCGAGCGUUAUCCGGAUUUACUGGGUGUAAAGGGUGCGUAGGCGGCUUGGCAAGUCAGUAGUGAAAUCCAUGGGCUUAACCCAUGAACUGCUAUUGAAACUGUCGAGCUUGAGUGAAGUAG
This 305-nucleotide ribosomal RNA is filed under the name uncultured bacterium. RNAcentral describes it as "bacterial SSU rRNA". It matches the Rfam family "Bacterial small subunit ribosomal RNA", at positions 334 to 654 of the family's 1533-position model. The record is from RNAcentral.